ACGGUGGCAGAACAUGAGAUUAAAAAGUCACUGAAGUCCAUCAACUCUAGGCUUCAACUCGUUAUUAAAAGUGGAAAGUAUGUGCUUGGGUACAAGAAAACUCUGAAUUCGAUCAUGCAAGACCAAGUGAAAUUGCUCUUCCUUGCCAACAUUCUUCCUGCCCAGCUUUGAGGAAUUCCCAAAUAGAGUACUACAGCAUGUUGGCCAAAAUUGGCAUCCAUCACUAAGAAUAUUGAAUUUGGUCAGUGUGCAGAAAAUACUGCAGAGUAUGUACACUGGCUGUCACUGAUCUAGGUGGCUGAUAUCCUUAGAAGCAUGCCAGAACAGAUGGGUGAAAAGUAA
RNAcentral lists this long non-coding RNA (342 nucleotides) under Homo sapiens (human). Its description in RNAcentral is "non-protein coding lnc-UNC5C-2:1". The record is from RNAcentral. Lineage: Eukaryota; Metazoa; Chordata; Mammalia; Primates; Hominidae.